AGCAGCCGCGGUAAUUCCAGCCCCAAUAGCGUAUAUUAAAGUUGUUGCAGUUAAAAAGCUCGUAGUUGAAUUUCGGGAUCAAUUUGCUGGUCGUGCCUCUGGUACGUACUGGUAUUAUUGGUUUCUCCCUUCUGACGAACCAUGAUGUCAUUAAUUUGAUGUCGUGGAGAAUCAGGACUGUUACUUUGAAAAAAUUAGAGUGUUUAAAGCAGGCAUUAGCUUGAAUACAUUAGCAUGGAAUAAUGAAAUAGGACGUUUGAUCCUAUUUUGUUGGUUUCUAGGAUUGACGUAAUGAUUAAUAGGGAUAGUUGGGGGCAUUAGUAUUCAAUUGUCAGAGGUGAAAUUCUUGGAUUUAUUGAAGACUAACUACUGCGAAAGCAUUUGCCAAGGAUGUUUUCAUUAAUCAAGAACGAAAGUUAGGGGAUCGAAGACGAUCAGAUACCGUCGUAGUCUUAACCAUAAACUAUGCCGACUAGGGAUCGGAUGAUGUUAAUUUUUUAAUGACUCAUUCGGCGCCUUA
This 520-nucleotide ribosomal RNA is filed under the name uncultured Glomus. RNAcentral describes it as "SSU rRNA". It matches the Rfam family "Eukaryotic small subunit ribosomal RNA", at positions 569 to 1090 of the family's 1831-position model. Lineage: Eukaryota; Fungi; Glomeromycota; Glomeromycetes; Glomerales; Glomeraceae. The record is from RNAcentral.